UGGAGACCACAGUGGGUGUAUUGGUUUGUUAGGAGGUGAUCUGUGGAGACCACAGUGGGUGUAUUGGUUUGUUAGGAGGUGAUCUGUGGAGACCACAGUGGGUGUAUUGGUUUGUUUGGAGGUGAUCUGUGGAGACCACAGUGGGUGUAUUGGUUUGUUAGGAGGUGAUCUGUGGAGACCACAGUGGGUGUAUUGGUUUGUUAGGAGGUGAUCUGUGGAGACCACAGUGGGUGUAUUGGUUUGUUUGGAGGUGAUCUGUGGAGACCACAGUGGGUGUAUUGGUUUGUUAGGAGGUGAUCUGUGGAGACCACAGUGGGUGUAUUGGUUUGUUUGGAGGUGAUCUGUGGAGACCACAGUGGGUGUAUUGGUUUGUUUGGAGGUGAUCUGUGGAGACCACAGUGGGUGUAUUGGUUUGUUAGGAGGUGAUCUGUGGAGACCACAGUGGGUGUAUUGGUUUGUUAGGAGGUGAUCUGUGGAGACCACAGUGGGUGUAUUGGUUUGUUUGGAGGUGAUCUGUGGAGACCACAGUGGGUGUAUUGGUUUGUUAGGAGGUGAUCUGUGGAGACCACAGUGGGUGUAUUGGUUUGUUUGGAGGUGAUCUGUGGAGACCACAGUGGGUGUAUUGGUUUGUUAGGAG
Oncorhynchus keta (chum salmon) is the source of this 637-nucleotide long non-coding RNA. RefSeq lists it as uncharacterized. Lineage: Eukaryota; Metazoa; Chordata; Actinopteri; Salmoniformes; Salmonidae. The transcript is spliced from 3 exons. The record is from RefSeq and is a predicted model, not a curated record.